CGCCUCCUCUUUCUCGGCCAUAGUAUGGAACUGGAGGAGGUUGAUAGCCUUUGUACAAGGAUUCACGCCCUACUAUUGGCGGUGGCGCAGCAGGCUGUAAACCCACUAGGUCACUUCGGCGCUCGCGGUAGGAAUUGGGAUCGGCGUAUCUAUGGUCAUAAGGAUUCAUGACUCUAGGAUUUCGAAAGUGGAAGAAACGGAGUAGUCUAGUUCAGUGGUGGAAUUUGAAACGGAAGAUACCCGACCGGCCGUAGCCUUCAGAAUUUCUUACUAUUCCGGUUCGAAGUAUUCAAG
Molecule: unclassified non-coding RNA, 294 nt
Filed under: Hevea brasiliensis (rubber tree)
Lineage: Eukaryota; Viridiplantae; Streptophyta; Magnoliopsida; Malpighiales; Euphorbiaceae
Source: RNAcentral